CUACCAGACUCCUACGGGAGGCAGCAGUGGGGGAUAUUGCACAAUGGGGGGAACCCUGAUGCAGCGACGCCGCGUGGGUGAAGAAGCGCCUCGGCGCGUAAAGCCCUGUCAGCAGGGAAGAAAAUGACGGUACCUGAAGAAGAAGCCCCGGCUAACUACGUGCCAGCAGCCGCGGUAAUACGUAGGGGGCAAGCGUUAUCCGGAUUUACUGGGCGUAAAGGGGGCGCAGACGGCGAUGCAAGCCAGGAGUGAAAGCCCGGGGCCCAACCCUGGGACUGCUCUGGAAACUGUAAAGCUGGAGUGCGGGAGGGGCAGGCGGAAUUCCUGGUGUAGCGGUGAAAUGCGUAGAUAUCAGGAGGAACACCGGCGGCGAAGGCGGCCUGCUGGACCGCGACUGACGUUGAGGCUCGAAAGCGUGGGGAGCGAACAGGAUUAGAUACCCCCGUAC
RNAcentral lists this ribosomal RNA (448 nucleotides) under uncultured bacterium. RNAcentral describes it as "bacterial SSU rRNA". It matches the Rfam family "Bacterial small subunit ribosomal RNA", at positions 328 to 793 of the family's 1533-position model. The record is from RNAcentral.